AGGUCCGGCGCGGAUUUGAACCAGUGGCCUAAGGAUCACCGGUGAUUUAUCUAAAGUCCUCCGCUCUGCCAACUGAGCUAUCGAGGGAUCC
RNAcentral lists this transfer RNA (91 nucleotides) under Cordylochernes scorpioides. Its description in RNAcentral is "tRNA-OTHER". Lineage: Eukaryota; Metazoa; Arthropoda; Arachnida; Pseudoscorpiones; Chernetidae. The record is from RNAcentral.